RNAcentral lists this ribosomal RNA (1369 nucleotides) under uncultured bacterium. Its description in RNAcentral is "bacterial SSU rRNA". It matches the Rfam family "Bacterial small subunit ribosomal RNA", at positions 28 to 1381 of the family's 1533-position model. The record is from RNAcentral.
GACGAACGCUUUCGGCGUGCCUAAUACAUGCAAGUAGAACGCUGAAGAGAGGAGCUUGCUCUUCUUGGAUGAGUUGCGAACGGGUGAGUAACGCGUAGGUAACCUGCCUUGUAGCGGGGGAUAACUAUUGGAAACGAUAGCUAAUACCGCAUAACAAUGGAUGACCCAUGUCAUUUAUUUGAAAGGGGCAAAUGCUCCACUACAAGAUGGACCUGCGUUGUAUUAGCUAGUAGGUGAGGUAACGGCUCACCUAGGCGACGAUACAUAGCCGACCUGAGAGGGUGAUCGGCCACACUGGGACUGAGACACGGCCCAGACUCCUACGGGAGGCAGCAGUAGGGAAUCUUCGGCAAUGGGGGCAACCCUGACCGAGCAACGCCGCGUGAGUGAAGAAGGUUUUCGGAUCGUAAAGCUCUGUUGUAAGUCAAGAACGAGUGUGAGAGUGGAAAGUUCACACUGUGACGGUAGCUUACCAGAAAGGGACGGCUAACUACGUGCCAGCAGCCGCGGUAAUACGUAGGUCCCGAGCGUUGUCCGGAUUUAUUGGGCGUAAAGCGAGCGCAGGCGGUUUGAUAAGUCUGAAGUUAGAGGCUGUGGCUCAACCAUAGUUCGCUUUGGAAACUGUCAAACUUGAGUGCAGAAGGGGAGAGUGGAAUUCCAUGUGUAGCGGUGAAAUGCGUAGAUAUAUGGAGGAACACCGGUGGCGAAAGCGGCUCUCUGGUCUGUAACUGACGCUGAGGCUCGAAAGCGUGGGGAGCGAACAGGAUUAGAUACCCUGGUAGUCCACGUCGUAAACGAUGAGUGCUAGGUGUUGGAUCCUUUCCGGGAUUCAGUGCCGCAGCUAACGCAUUAAGCACUCCGCCUGGGGAGUACGACCGCAAGGUUGAAACUCAAAGGAAUUGACGGGGGCCCGCACAAGCGGUGGAGCAUGUGGUUUAAUUCGAAGCAACGCGAAGAACCUUACCAGGUCUUGACAUCCCGAUGCUAUUUCUAGAGAUAGAAAGUUACUUCGGUACAUCGGUGACAGGUGGUGCAUGGUUGUCGUCAGCUCGUGUCGUGAGAUGUUGGGUUAAGUCCCGCAACGAGCGCAACCCCUAUUGUUAGUUGCCAUCAUUCAGUUGGGCACUCUAGCGAGACUGCCGGCAAUAAACCGGAGGAAGGUGGGGAUGACGUCAAAUCAUCAUGCCCCUUAUGACCUGGGCUACACACGUGCUACAAUGGUUGGUACAACGAGUUGCGAGUCGGUGACGGCAAGCUAAUCUCUUAAAGCCAAUCUCAGUUCGGAUUGUAGGCUGCAACUCGCCUACAUGAAGUCGGAAUCGCUAGUAAUCGCGGAUCAGCACGCCGCGGUGAAUACGUUCCCGGGCCU